RNAcentral lists this long non-coding RNA (1113 nucleotides) under Canis lupus dingo (dingo). RNAcentral describes it as "lncRNA (ENSCAFG00020005269.1)". Lineage: Eukaryota; Metazoa; Chordata; Mammalia; Carnivora; Canidae. The record is from RNAcentral.
AUGCUUCUCUCCGCCCGCCGCCUCCUCACGCUGGGACCUCGAGGGCGGCGCGGCGGCCGCUGCGACCCCCGCGGCGGAGCCGGAGAAGGCGGCGGCGGCCCAGCCGAGCCCGCCGGGGGCCCGCAGCCGCCCGCAUCGCCAGCCGCCGCCGCGCCCGCCGCGGCUCCUCGCGCCCCGCCCUCCCCGCCCCCGCACGCGGCGGCGGCGGCAGCGGCAGCGGCAGCGGCGGCGCGGGUCUUAGGGCCGCUCCCCGCCGGGCGCGCGCUCGGGGCGUUCCUCGCCGGGCCCGGCCUGCCAGUCGCUCCGCGGCCGCCGCCACUCUCAAACCCCCCGGCUACGUCGGGGCCCCUCCCGGCGGCGCAGCCGCCACGCGUCACUUCCGGGGCGGGGCGGGGCGGGGCCGCGAGUCGGGGCCUCCGGGGGCGCGCGUGGGCGCGGCGGUACCUGCGGUUCUGCGCUUGGCCGCGGCCCCGGCGCCCAGGCUGCCGUCCGCGGGGCGGGGGCCCGGGACCGCCUCCGUCGGCGCUGAGCCGUCGCCCGAGGGCUUCUGCGUCCUGGGCCAGCAGUCGCGGCUUUUCCGUUGGCUCCUCCGAGCGCCCGCUCCCAGGAGCACCGAACACCCCCCCCCCCCCCGUGAAUACUGUUAAACGGUCCCCGCAGCGCCGUGGCCCGGGGGCCGACGGGCGCAGUCAGACCUGGAAUCCGGCCGCGGCUUUGCGCCUCGCCGUCCCGGAGACCUCAGCUUUGUUGACUCCCCAAAAGCUUCAUCCUCUGUCAAACGGAGAGAAGCCGGGGGCCCAGCGUUGCGGUGGCAAAGCGGGCCGGGCGCCCGGGUCACCCAGCGGGGUUCCCAGCACGCGCGGUCUCUCUAAAUGGGGUUCCCAAGCAGGCGAGGCGCACGGGGCCCCGAAGACCGUCGGCGGAGUUGAGCCGCGGAGGGAUGCGCGGCCCGGGGCGGGAGCGCCCAGCGACGCCUCCGAGAACCAGGCGCCGCGUCGCCUUCAGCCCGAGACCAAAGGGCCGGGGUGCGAAUCCCCCGCUCUCGGGCCAUUUGCUCCCUGCAAGCCCCGCAGUGAGUGGCUGCUCCGCUCUGCACCUCGGUGCCUCGUGUAG